CUGCAUCUCUUAGGGAAGGAAGUUUUGGACUCUGGAAGAAGAUCCUCUACAUUCUCAUUUUAAAACUGUACUAUCUCUCAUAUUACGGGUGAAUUCUCAACAGGAAAGUUAUUUGUGGUAGCAGGUUGUGUUUUCCAAAGAUGGUCAUAAUGUUUCCCACCCCACAUACUCUCCUGUAACCUUGACAAUGUUCCAUUAAGGAGUGUUCCCUCUGUGUUCUCUCCCUUCAAUCCUGGGCAGGCUUUAAUGAUUGUCUUGACAAAUAUAGUACAGGUUGUUGUGUAUCGCUAAUCCCAAAAUAUCCAAAAUCCAAAACACUUCUGGCCCCAAGCAUUUUGGAUAAGGGAUCCUCAACCUAUGUGGUGGAAGUAAGCAGUGUGACUUCUGAAUUAGGUAACAAAUAUGCUAUGCGCUUCUACUUUGCUCUUGCAGAAUGCUCAUGCUUGGAACCCUAUGUCCAAGUUGUAAGGAAGCCCAAGCAGCCCAUAAAGAGGCCCACGUUAAGAAGAACCAGGACCCACAGUCUAAGUGAACUCUCAGCUAAUAGCACCAUUUUGCCAACCAUGAGUCAAACUGGCAGCUUCAAGGACCUUGGCUGAAAUUGGUCCAUUUGGAUAUGUGUGCUUGUUUCUGCAAUGUCCUGAAUGACUGUGGGAAAGGGCUUCACAAGGCUUCAUAAGACACCUGGAUCUCAUAUCUGCUUCUGCAUUCAAUCUGUUGCACCAAGUUGUUUUGACUGAAGGGUAUGAAGAAAAACUGGCCUCAUCCAAAUAUGCGGUUGGAAAAGGGUGGAGUAUUUUAACAGCCCUUCAAAUAAUUGGUCCCAGUGAUCAAGCUUUGUCUCCAGCAUCAUUUUACCCUUUAUUCUUGGAAGGGACACUGGAGGCGACUGAUUCCAACCCCUCGACUUGAAAGUUGAAAGAUGCAAAGCACAGAGCAGGGGAUGACAUGCUCAAGGCCCCAUCACCAGUCGGAGGCAGACCUGCAUAGAACUUGGGACAUAAAUGUAGGCACACACAAAACCCAGAGACAUUCCACCGACAUUUAAAAUCAAGAAUCCUCCCUGAUAUAGUAUGACCUUGUAAAUGAUGCAAAGGGUUUGAACAAUUCAAAACAAACAAACAAACAAAAAAACAGGUCUAGGAUAAGUUUUUUCAAAAUCAUCAAAUAUAAAUUUCAACCCAAUUUUUUAAUUUCAUAAAACCAAGGUUAAAAGAGGUUGAGUGAUUAGUUAAAAGUUAUGGGCAAGUGAUGGUAACGUCAAGCCUCUAAUUCAUAUAUUUGCCAAGCUCUAGCUUUGAAUGAUAUUGUAACUCGAAAGGAAUAAUGUUGUUCUUUUUAGAAAAUAACAUGGUCAUGGUAGACCACUUGGAAAAAUAUACAUAAACAUAAGGACAAAGUGACCCAUACAUUAAAGAUAAUCACUGUUAAUAUUUUUAUUAAAUGAAAAGCAUUACAUGUAACUUUACCUAAGUUUAUCAGAAAAAAAGAAUUAAAGAGGGUCGGUAUGGUGGUUCACGCCUAUAAUCCCAGCACUCUGG
Molecule: long non-coding RNA, 1541 nt
Filed under: Homo sapiens (human)
Lineage: Eukaryota; Metazoa; Chordata; Mammalia; Primates; Hominidae
Description: HSALNT0334471
Source: RNAcentral